This 301-nucleotide ribosomal RNA is filed under the name uncultured bacterium. RNAcentral describes it as "partial 16S ribosomal RNA". It matches the Rfam family "Bacterial small subunit ribosomal RNA", at positions 509 to 807 of the family's 1533-position model. The record is from RNAcentral.
CAGUAGCCGCGGGAAUACGUAGGGUGCGAGCGUUAAUCGGAAUUACUGGGCGUAAAGCGUGCGCAGGCGGUUGUGUAAGACAGGUGUGAAAUCCCCGGGCUUAACCUGGGAACUGCGCUUGUGACUGCACGGCUAGAGUAUGGCAGAGGGGGGUGGAAUUCCACGUGUAGCAGUGAAAUGCGUAGAGAUGUGGAGGAACACCGAUGGCGAAGGCAGCCCCCUGGGCCAAUACUGACGCUCAUGCACGAAAGCGUGGGGAGCAAACAGGAUUAGAUACCCCCGUAGUCCCUGUCUCUUAUAC